AGCUCUGUGAUUACGUGCCUCUAACGGGGGUAAUAUACGCUAUUCUGAUUCAUUGAGUGAGUAGAAAAUUUAUAUCAACAAUGAGAGCU
Small nucleolar RNA from Humulus lupulus (European hop), 89 nucleotides. RefSeq annotates it as small nucleolar RNA U54. The transcript has a single exon. Lineage: Eukaryota; Viridiplantae; Streptophyta; Magnoliopsida; Rosales; Cannabaceae. The record is from RefSeq and is a predicted model, not a curated record.